This 443-nucleotide ribosomal RNA is filed under the name uncultured bacterium. RNAcentral's name for it is "partial 16S ribosomal RNA". It matches the Rfam family "Bacterial small subunit ribosomal RNA", at positions 338 to 795 of the family's 1533-position model. The record is from RNAcentral.
CCUACGGGGGGCAGCAGUGGGGAAUAUUGGACAAUGGGGGGAACCCUGAUCCAGCGACGCCGCGUGAGUGAAGAAGUAUUUCGGUAUGUAAAGCUCUAUCAGCAGGGAAGAAAGAAAUGACGGUACCUGACUAAGAAGCCCCGGCUAACUACGUGCCAGCAGCCGCGGUAAUACGUAGGGGGCAAGCGUUAUCCGGAUUUACUGGGGGUAAAGGGAGCGUAGACGGGGAUGCAAGUCUGAAGUGAAAGGCGGGGGCCCAACCCCCGGACUGCUUUGGAAACUGUAUGGCUGGAGUGCAGGGGAGGUGAGUGGAAUUCCUAGUGUAGCGGUGAAAUGCGUAGAUAUUAGGAGGAACACCAGUGGCGAAGGCGGGUUACUGGACUGUAACUGACGUUGAGGCUCGAAAGCGUGGGGAGCAAACAGGAUUAGAUACCCGAGUAGUC